GGCCACAGCCAUAUCACCCUGCAGUCCAAGACUGGUUACCCACUGAAGCUAAGCAGGGCUGAGCUUGGUCAGUAUCUGGAUGGGAGACUGCAUGGGAAAGCUAGGUUGCUGUUGGAA
Ribosomal RNA from Danio rerio (zebrafish), 117 nucleotides. The record is from Ensembl. NCBI's taxonomy places the organism in Eukaryota, Metazoa, Chordata, Actinopteri, Cypriniformes, Danionidae.